CAGACUCCACACCCAGCAUAGAGCCCAACACAGGGCUCGAUCUCACAACCCCAAGAUUAUGACCUGAGCCAAAAUCAAGAGUCAGAUGCUUAACCAACUGAGCCACCCAGUUGCCCCUACCAUCAUUUUUGAAAGACAAUUUUGCUGGUUAUAAGAUUGGUUGGUAGGGUUUUUCCUUUUGGGCAAUUUGAAUAUGUUAUCCCACUGCCUUAUGUCCUCCAUUGUUUCUGAUGAGAAGCAUGCUCUUAAUCUUAUUGGGGUACCCCUGUGAGUGAUAACAUUGAUUUCCUCUUGCUGCUUUCAAGAUAUUCUCCUUGUCUUUGACUUUCAGCAUUUUUACCAUGAUGUAUCUGUGGGUGUCUGCUCGCAUCCUCCUGGGAGUUUCUUGAGCUUCUGUUCUCCCAGCCGGUUUCACAGUCCUAGGCAGAUGUGAUGCUGACCUUCAGAGAGUGACACCUCUUGCUAUUGUUUUCAAAUGCCCUGAGGAUAGACCUUUUCCAGAGUUUCAAAUCAGGGGGAAGAUUUACUGAGAUCCUUACUGCACCAUUCCAGAAGUCCCUUCUUGGCAGUUUCUUAUAGGGUUAAAUGUACUCCGUAUGACUUAGAAAUUCCACUCCAAGGGCUUCUUGCCUUUCUCCAAAGAUGCCUGGAGAGAGCCCUGGGGCUAGCCACAGUGUUACUGUUCCGGCAGUAACAGCUUGGUUCUCAUCUCCCUGGUCCCUUCUGAUCUGAACCCAGAAACAGCAAUACAGGUGCUUGCCCACAGUUCUCUUCUCUCCUGUGGCCUUCCGUAUGACCCUGGCACUUCCCCGGAGCAACACCACAUGGCAUGCUGUAUUCUCCCCUGGGAACUGUGAGUAUAAUAAAUUGUAAAAUUCUCCACUUUCUCUUGAUCUGCAUCACCAUACCUUACCCAAAGUAAUAUGGUUAAAACAGUCAUGCUGUGGACUUGGUUUUGGGCUUGUUUGUUUUUUGGCCAUUUGUCUAUCUUUUGUGAAGCGUCUGUUCACAUCUUUCCCCAUUUUUUGUUUUUGAUUUUCAUCCUAUUAAGUUAUAG
Molecule: long non-coding RNA, 1057 nt
Organism: Ailuropoda melanoleuca (giant panda)
Lineage: Eukaryota; Metazoa; Chordata; Mammalia; Carnivora; Ursidae
Exons: 5
Source: RefSeq, a predicted model, not a curated record